Molecule: ribosomal RNA, 126 nt
Filed under: Alphaproteobacteria bacterium
Lineage: Bacteria; Pseudomonadati; Pseudomonadota; Alphaproteobacteria
Description: partial 16S ribosomal RNA
Rfam family: Bacterial small subunit ribosomal RNA
Source: RNAcentral
CAAACUUGAGAGUUUGAUCCUGGCUCAGAACGAACGCUGGCGGCAGGCUUAACACAUGCAAGUCGAACGAGAAAGUUCUCUUCGGAGAACGAGUAAAGUGGCGCACGGGUGAGUAACGCGUGAAUA